Molecule: long non-coding RNA, 1684 nt
Organism: Sitodiplosis mosellana (orange wheat blossom midge)
Lineage: Eukaryota; Metazoa; Arthropoda; Insecta; Diptera; Cecidomyiidae
Exons: 2
Source: RefSeq, a predicted model, not a curated record
GCUGCCAAUAGACCAGCUAUUAAUGGACAUAUUCCAAUAAACCAGUGAAAAAUGUCAAUAAAGUGGUUAUACAAAAUUCAUAUAUGAAUGUUACUGAAAAUACUGAAAAUACUGAAAAUGAGUGAAUUUUCGCGAUGCUGAUAAGAGAUAGAGGUUUGGUGUCUUGGACAAAGUUGUAUAACUCGCAGACUCCUAUAAUUUUACUGAAGACAUCUAUCUCUUAUCUCUUUAUUAUUAAAAAUGAUCGUGAAUUGAUAAUUUUUGUCAAAAUACAUGAAAAUAUAACCAUUUGAACAUUGGUUUAUCUACAUAUAGAAAAGUCGUUUAGACAAACCACAGAACCUCAAUUAGAUUAAAAGCGUUAUUUUUUGUUUAUUUAGUCUGUGUAUACGAUUAUGAGAUUGAGGGUCCAGUUGAAAAUGUAAUUUACGUAACUUCAACAUCGUUCCCUUGCUAUAUUGUUUGAGUGCAGGCGACAGACGACAAUAUUUCUAUCAUGCUGCAUACAAUGUGGCACAAUGUGAAUUCACAGAACGAGCCAAGAAUUCGGGUAAAAAAGUGAAAUUGUACGAAGAAAUCGGCGAUAAGACAUCCAAUAAUGGUGUGAAGGGCAUUGAGUAUGCGGGAACAAAAGCCAAGUUUUGGUUCGCCAACAAAGCAAUCUAAUCUAAAAUUGUUUACUUUUACGAAAAUAAAACAUCUAAAUUCAGAAGAUGACAAGAAACAAGUACCAUUCGAUAAUGUAAUACGUAAUAAAAAUCAAUGCAACAAUUCCAUAGAAUACUGUGUACUAUGCAGUUGUAAGAAUUGCAAUCUAUUGUUCUCUUAUUUUUAUUAAACAUUUUUCAGUUUAAAAAAAAUUACAAUAGAAAUUUUGUUUUCAUCCGAUCGCAUGAAUAUCAAGAAAGUCCGGUGCGAAUGCCCAAAAUACUUGGUUUCAUUUAUUGCUAAUUAUUGAAAUUGUGCAUUUCCAAGCCAAGUUUAACCGUAAAUAUGUCGAAUUGCAACGGAAAUUUAUUACUCUCUGUAAUUUUGGUUUGUUGCUGCAUGAAAACAAUGAACAUUCCUUCUUCAUCAGAAAAAUGUAUAAAAAAGUUGAUGACAGAAGUUUAAAAUCCAGUUUCCUCUACGCUCUUGCUCAAUUCAUUGCAAUAAAAAAACGUAAAUUUUGAAAAAAGUUUCAUUUUCAAUUCGAAGAACCAAUUGUAACAAGCAAUUGUUUUAAUUGUAUUGCAAUCCAUUCGAAUCAAAAUGAGGAUCGGUUUGAUUUUUGUUCUACUUGGAGUCGUCUAUGGCGCUUAUGAUUAUGCUAUCAUCGGAGAGGUUGAAAAUGUAAUUUACGUGACUUCAAAAGACUGGCCAUGCUAUGUUGCUUUAAAAAGUGACGGUGACAGUCGACAAUUCUACUAUCACGCGGCAUCCAAUGUGGAACAGUGCGGAUUUGCAGAGAGGGCGAAACAUUUCGAAUUCAAAGUUAAAUUAUAUGGAGAAAUUGCUCCUGGUAAUAAUAAUCUAUUGGCCAUUGAGUAUGCUAAUACGGAGUCUAAAUUUUGGUUCCAAUUAAAUGCAACCCGUCAUUGAUCGGACAAAUCAUACGAGAGUCUUGUGAAGAAGUAAAAUAAGAAUAUGAUCAAGAAAAUGUGUGCGAAAAGUGAAUAAAAUUCUGCUAUUUUGAACCCAUCAA